AUACGUAGGUGGCAAGCGUUGUCCGGAUUUAUUGGGCGUAAAGAGAGCGCAGGCGGUUUCUUAAGUCUGAUGUGAAAGCCCCCGGCUCAACCGGGGAGGGUCAUUGGAAACUGGGAGACUUGAGUGCGGAAGAGGAGAGUGGAAUUCCUUGUGUAGCGGGGAAAUGCGUAGAUAUAUGGAGGAACACCAGUGGAGAAGGCGACUCUCUGGUCUGUAACUGACGCUGAGGCUCGAAAGCGUGGGGAGCAAACAGGAUUAGAUACCCUGGUAGUCCACGCCGUAAACGAUGAGUGCUAAGUGUUGGAGGGUUUCCGCCCUUCAGUGCUGCAGCUAACGCAUUAAGCACUCCGCCUGGGGAGUACGACCGCAAGGUUGAAACUCAAAGGAAUUGACGGGG
Molecule: ribosomal RNA, 397 nt
Filed under: uncultured bacterium
Lineage: Bacteria
Description: partial 16S ribosomal RNA
Rfam family: Bacterial small subunit ribosomal RNA
Source: RNAcentral